RNAcentral lists this ribosomal RNA (995 nucleotides) under uncultured bacterium. Its description in RNAcentral is "bacterial SSU rRNA". It matches the Rfam family "Bacterial small subunit ribosomal RNA", at positions 355 to 1375 of the family's 1533-position model. The record is from RNAcentral.
UGGGGGAUAUUGCACAAUGGGGGAAACCCUGAUGCAGCGACGCCGCGUGGAGGAAGAAGGUUUUCGGAUUGUAAACUCCUGUCGUUAGGGACGAUAAUGACGGUACCUAACAAGAAAGCACCGGCUAACUACGUGCCAGCAGCCGCGGUAAAACGUAGGUCACAAGCGUUGUCCGGAAUUACUGGGUGUAAAGGGAGCGCAGGCGGGAAGACAAGUUGGAAGUGAAAUCUAUGGGCUCAACCCAUAAACUGCUUUCAAAACUGUUUUUCUUGAGUAGUGCAGAGGUAGGCGGAAUUCCCGGUGUAGCGGUGGAAUGCGUAGAUAUCGGGAGGAACACCAGUGGCGAAGGCGGCCUACUGGGCACCAACUGACGCUGAGGCUCGAAAGUGUGGGUAGCAAACAGGAUUAGAUACCCUGGUAGUCCACACCGUAAACGAUGAUUACUAGGUGUUGGAGGAUUGACCCCUUCAGUGCCGCAGUUAACACAAUAAGUAAUCCACCUGGGGAGUACGACCGCAAGGUUGAAACUCAAAGGAAUUGACGGGGGCCCGCACAAGCAGUGGAGUAUGUGGUUUAAUUCGACGCAACGCGAAGAACCUUACCAAGUCUUGACAUCCUGCGACGAUGCUGGAAACAGUAUUUUCCUUCGGGACGCAGAGACAGGUGGUGCAUGGUUGUCGUCAGCUCGUGUCGUGAGAUGUUGGGUUAAGUCCCGCAACGAGCGCAACCCUUACUGUCAGUUACUACGCAAGAGGACUCUGGCAGGACUGCCGUUGACAAAACGGAGGAAGGUGGGGAUGACGUCAAAUCAUCAUGCCCUUUAUGACUUGGGCUACACACGUACUACAAUGGCGUUAAACAAAGAGAAGCAAGACCGCGAGGUGGAGCAAAACUCAGAAACAACGUCCCAGUUCGGACUGCAGGCUGCAACUCGCCUGCACGAAGUCGGAAUUGCUAGUAAUCGUGGAUCAGCAUGCCACGGUGAAUACGUUCCC